CCUACGGGUGGCAGCAGUGAGGACUAUUGGUCAAUGGGCGAGAGCCUGAACCAGCCAAGUCGCGUGAGGGAGUACUGCCCUAUGGGUUGUAAACCUCUUUUGUCGGGGAGCAAAAGCCGGACGUGUCCGGCUGUGAGAGUACCCGAAGAACAAGCAUCGGCUAACUCCGUGCCAGCAGCCGCGGUAAUACGGAGGAUGCGAGCGUUAUCCGGAUUUAUUGGGUUUAAAGGGUGCGCAGGCGGAUGUUUAAGUCAGCGGUAAAAUCGUGGGGCUCAACCCCAUCCAGCCGUUGAAACUGGGGAUCUAGAGUGUGCGAGAGGUAUGCGGAAUGCGUGGUGGAGCGGUGAAAUGCAUAGAUAUCACGCAGAACCCCGAUUGCGAAGGCAGCAUACCGGUGCACAACUGACGCUCAGGCACGAAAGCGUGGGUAUCGAACAGGAUUAGAUACCCCAGUAGUC
This 458-nucleotide ribosomal RNA is filed under the name uncultured bacterium. RNAcentral's name for it is "partial 16S ribosomal RNA". It matches the Rfam family "Bacterial small subunit ribosomal RNA", at positions 338 to 795 of the family's 1533-position model. The record is from RNAcentral.